UCUCUCUCUCUGGCUAUACGGAUUUUUUUUUUUUUUUUUUUUUUUUUUUUUAGGAAAUAAUGCAACUAGAAAAAGAACACCAACCAAACCUUUGCCAAAAGUCAGCCCUAGUAGAAGCAUUGUUACUUCACCAAAGUAAAGGCUUUAUGAAAUAUGAUCACCUAAUAUACAAUAAUACGCCACCAAAUACCUUAACGCCCUCCAUCCAGUAACUGUUGUUACCCCCGGACCACAGUUUUCUCCACUGCUUUGAUUUAAGCAUUUGUGAACCUUUUAAGGUUUGUGACCGAGCAGGUGAGGCGACAGCGCUUUUGCAGGUGUUACGGUAGAUUCACAGAAUGUAACUGAGUGUAUAUAAGCAUAUAAGUUUCUACGUAACAUAUCAUAAUUUGUACAUGUUAUAAUAUCUACAGAUGUUAUUAUGUGUCAUAGCUUUCAAAAAGUAUAUUAUCUAGGAAAAGCGUAAAUAUGCAAUGAUAUAUGUGUGUGUGUGUGUGUGUGUGUGUGUGUGUGUGUGUGUGUGUGUGUUCCACUACAUGUAAAAGUUUGGAGGGUCGUAGCUUUCAAGAUACAGGAGGCUGAGGUUUGGGCCUGGGCCUACCCUUAGUGUGGGCAAGACUGCUAGAGCAUAAGAAAUACUGUUGCUCCUCUCCUGAAGGCCUGUCCGGAUGUUUAGUUUCUUUGGGGAGGUGAAUGCCCUGCCUGUGUAAUUAACUCUACAGAGCUAGGAUGUGCGAACAGGUGGACCUUUGUGCACAGUCGCCACCUUUUAAGGUAACCGUUUUUCAAUGAAUGGAAGGAGGCAGACUUGGAAUAAAUACGUAAAAAUAGUCUAUGUAUAAUCCACUCCUUGAAAAGAAAGUAGAACACAAGCACAGUUAUUUCUGGGGAGUGGUCACUUAAAUAUUUGUACCUAAUUAUUUCUACAAAGUUUUCCAAAGCUGUCUGAACAAGCAUCGUUCCUCGUUGAAGGUGUUCUGUGAUUAUAUCCUAUGAAAUGUUUAUUUUGAUAAUGAAGUGAUAACGCAACAACGAUGUUUAGGCUUGCUUUUUUUUUUUUUUUUUGGGGGGGGGGGGUCCAUAUUUCCUCAAAAAUUAUACUUCUUUACAGCCGGGGGAGGGGUAUGUGUGUGGGUGUGGGUGUGGUGGGUGGGUGUAGGCUUUGUUACUGUGCAAAAGACAGGUAAGAAUUUUUCACUUCAUCGGUCAAUCACUGCUAUUAAACUAUCAUUUAUAUAUUACUUCAUUUACUUAUCACUUUAAUAGUUGUUAUUAUUAAUUAUUCUCGCUUGUGAUUGCAUCGGUAAUCCGUGUGUCAAAUAACAGGUCAUGUGAAAUUUUAGUAAGAGCCAAGUAAGAACUUGCAAUUUACAAGCAAUGGCAACGAGCAGAUUUAUGGUACUCUGUAUUUUUGAGGAAGGUUCGAGAUGCAGUUCGAAUCUCUCCAGAAGUAAUCUACUAUUGGUUGACUAAGGUCACACGCUGUUAGCCGUUAUUUAUAUACUACUAAUAUUCACAUUAAUGAACUUUUAUAUACAUUUUACACAUGGAAGAGACUAUGGUGACAGGAUAAUGUAGAACUGGUAUCCACAAUUGAGCAUCGAAGCAGCAGUCGAACAAUCUCGAGGAGUCGGACUCGGACCAUUGUCGCUGACCAUCACCACCACCGCGCUCAUACCUGGAGCCGAGCGUCGGGAACGGGCAUGGCUCCCCGCCGUGCUGCAGGGAUCUUCCCAGGGAUUACGUUGUUCCGUGCAUGAACGGUUGGAGGACCGAUGGUGGGAAACAGCCAGCCAAGACAGGUCCCCUUCUGAAAGAAAUUUUCAUGUGCCGAGGUCUGGUAAAGUACUUCUUCGGCGCUGGAUGUCCAUCACCAAUGAAGAUUGCUUCAAUAAAUUCAUUCUGAUGAAGGGAUGAGAUAUACUGUGUAUCAGACUUGUUGACUAGUUAGUACUAGUUAGUAAGCAUCCAUUAUGUAAGAGUUCGAAGAACUCCCUUUUCUUUUUUUUUUUUAAUAAAAAUUUUUGACUGGUG
Molecule: long non-coding RNA, 2034 nt
Organism: Eriocheir sinensis (Chinese mitten crab)
Lineage: Eukaryota; Metazoa; Arthropoda; Malacostraca; Decapoda; Varunidae
Exons: 2
Source: RefSeq, a predicted model, not a curated record